UGACCAGACUGCAGGAGGACAGGAAGACUGGAGUGCCUAGAACAGAUUGUGAAUAUGAAAGCAAAGUCCAUCUUAUGAAACUGCCCUGAGAGCCUCUUUUGACUUAAAAGUAGGGUGAAAAUGAAUUUUAAAACAUAAAGACUUGAAGAUCCCCCUUCAGCAUACUGCAGAGAAAGAGAAACAUCCGAGAAAAUGGUGAUAUCCUCUCAGAGAUGAAAAUUAAAUCUAAGAUGUCUUGUGGGACAGCUGUGGGAAUCUUGGGUUUUUUGGGAAGUGGAGUGAGGAAAACCACUCAAACCUUAAAUCUAGCAAGCAACAUCAUUUUGUCUAGUUCAGCCAUAUAAGAAUAAGAAUCCAUGCUGCAGUUCAAUUGUCUCAAUAUUUAUUCUCUAACAGGUUGUUGAAGCACAUGCACCACCUGAAGCCCACCUUUUCUUGGGCUGCCUACAAAAUAAUCACCUUCAUUAAUGCCAUUACUAAUGGCAUCCAGAUGUGAAGGAUUCAGAUAACAGGAGAAAUUAAAUUCACAGGCUCCACCCUCAAUAUUAAAUUUUCUAAAUUUUAGCAAAAGCAUGUCUCUCCCCACACCCCACUCCUACAGCCUUGUAGG
Podarcis muralis (Common wall lizard) is the source of this 610-nucleotide non-coding RNA. The record is from RefSeq and is a predicted model, not a curated record. Lineage: Eukaryota; Metazoa; Chordata; Lepidosauria; Squamata; Lacertidae.